RNAcentral lists this ribosomal RNA (450 nucleotides) under uncultured bacterium. Its description in RNAcentral is "partial 16S ribosomal RNA". It matches the Rfam family "Bacterial small subunit ribosomal RNA", at positions 354 to 796 of the family's 1533-position model. The record is from RNAcentral.
GUGGGGAAUCUUCCGCAAUGGACGAAAGUCUGACGGAGCAACGCCGCGUGAGUGAUGAAGGUCUUCGGAUUGUAAAGCUCUGUUAAUCGGGACGAAAGAGCCUAGUGUGAAUAAUGCUAGGAAGUGACGGUACCGGAAUAGAAAGCCACGGCUCACUACGUGCCAGCAGCCGCGGUAAUACGUAGGUGGCAAGCGUUGUCCGGAAUUAUUGGGCGUAAAGCGCGCGCAGGCGGAUCUGCCAGUCUGUCUUAAAAGGUCGGGGCUUAACCCCGUGAUGGGAUGGAAACUACAGAUCUAGAGUAACGGAGAGGAAAGUGGAAUUCCUAGUGUAGCGGUGAAAUGCGUAGAUAUUAGGAAGAACACCAGUGGCGAAGGCGACUUUCUGGACGAAAACUGACGCUGAGGCGCGAAAGCCAGGGGAGCGAACGGGAUUAGAAACCCUUGUAGUCC